AUCCACCAAGUGAAGCCCAGAUCCCUGAUACACCCAGCAUCCAUCAGAGGAUUACACCAGAUAAUCCCCCUCACUGUAACUAACAGCACCCCAACUUGAGUUUUAAAAGACCUUACAGUCAUGAGCAACUCAAGUAUCCUAUCAUAUACUUCCAUGGAACUUGUCUUGUACUCCUUGAAAUGCACAAUAACAGCUGUCAUCAUAUCAUUUCCUAUGCAAGGAUCAAUGAAGCAGUAGAAAAAUUCAGUUAUGAACCAAAUUUGCACCAACUCAUUUCCACUGCUAGAUUGACCAUUAGUACAGCCUCCAAUAAUGAAUUUGAGCAUGAUGAUCUUAUUUUUCCAUGCAUAGGCUUCAUACAUCACUAAAGUGAACAUACUACCUUUUGGAUCCAAUUACUUAUUUUGUUGGUUUUGGAAGUUACUAAACUAUGUGGAUUUUUUUCUUGUAUAGGCUGUUAAAAAGGGUCGAGAUCCAACACCAAGUGAGGUACAUUUGCACGUCCAUACACACGGUCAUGAUGGAAAAUCUUUUGUUGGUGAGCGAGCCCGAAUCGUGCAUGAAAAAUAUCAAGAAAUACUACAAAAUCAGACACAGACUAAAUCUGAAGUUGAUCAAUGUCAAGCCUAUUACGAAGCCGCAGGAGGGGUAAAGAAAAGAAGAAUAUAUGGUUUUGGAUCUCAAGCACAAAUAUAUUAUCGGCUGAAUCUUCGUCCUUCUUCUGCUUCUGAUGCUACAUCCUCAGUACCACCUCUGAAUGCUCAACUAGCAGUGACUGGAAAUUUGGAUGAGUUAGUGACGCGAUUAAUUCCUACACUGACUAAUAGCAUCAUUCCUGCACUGACUGAUCGCUUGCUUCCUAUAAUUAUUGAGCGAGUACGUGGAUCGAGUCCUUCUGUCUCUUCUCAGACAGACACUCCUAAUAACCAUCCAUCAUCUAUGGCACCUAUAGUUCCAGCUCCAGCUACUACCAACAUUGAUCAAGUUCAUGCAUCGGUUUCUGGUGAUGAUCGUGGCUCUCCAGUCUCUCAUUAGUUAGUUUUGUUGUUUGGACUUUAUGGUUGUUGCAUAUGAUUUUGGAUUUUUGGUUUUGGAUAUUAUCGUUGUGGAUGCUUUGAACUUGAUUUGCAUGCUGCUAUGUAUUUUGGACCUUGUAGAAUAUUAGUUUUUAUGAAUUAAGUUAUUAUAUGAGUCUCUAAUA
Molecule: long non-coding RNA, 1201 nt
Organism: Lycium barbarum (goji berry)
Lineage: Eukaryota; Viridiplantae; Streptophyta; Magnoliopsida; Solanales; Solanaceae
Exons: 2
Source: RefSeq, a predicted model, not a curated record